CAAGAGCGUAUGUAAAAGUUGUUGCAGUUAAAAAGCUCGUAGUUGAACCUUGGGUUUGGUUGGCCGGUCCGCUUUUUUGCGAGUACUGGAUUCAACCGAGCCUUUCCUUCUGGCUAACCAGUCGUUUCGGCGGCUGGCGAACCAGGAUUUUUACUUUGAGAAAAUUAGAGUGUUCAAAGCAGGCAUUAGCUUGAAUAUAUUAGCAUGGAAUAAUAGAAUAGGACGUUAUGGUUCUAUUUUGUUGGUUUCUAGGACCAUCGUAAUGAUUAAUAGGGACGGUCGGGGGCAUCAGUAUUCAGGUGUCAGAGGUGAAAUUCUUGGAUUUACUGAAGACUAACUACUGCGAAAGCAUUUGCCAAGGACGUUUUCAUUAA
This 374-nucleotide ribosomal RNA is filed under the name uncultured eukaryote. RNAcentral's name for it is "partial 18S ribosomal RNA". It matches the Rfam family "Eukaryotic small subunit ribosomal RNA", at positions 592 to 976 of the family's 1831-position model. The record is from RNAcentral.